ACUGGCGGCGUGCCUAAUACAUGCAAGUCGAGCGAAUGAAUGGGAGCUUGCUCCCUGAAGUUAGCGGCGGACGGGUGAGUAACACGUGGGCAACCUGCCUGUAAGACUGGGAUAACUUCGGGAAACCGGAGCUAAUACCGGAUAACUUCUUUCCUCGCAUGGGGAAAGGUUAAAAGACGGUUUUGCUGUCACUUACAGAUGGGCCCGCGGCGCAUUAGCUAGUUGGUGAGGUAACGGCUCACCAAGGCGACGAUGCGUAGCCGACCUGAGAGGGUGAUCGGCCACACUGGGACUGAGACACGGCCCAGACUCCUACGGGAGGCAGCAGUAGGGAAUCUUCCACAAUGGACGAAAGUCUGACGGAGCAACGCCGCGUGAGUGA
This 382-nucleotide ribosomal RNA is filed under the name uncultured bacterium. RNAcentral describes it as "bacterial SSU rRNA". It matches the Rfam family "Bacterial small subunit ribosomal RNA", at positions 36 to 408 of the family's 1533-position model. The record is from RNAcentral.